RNAcentral lists this transfer RNA (94 nucleotides) under Pelodiscus sinensis (Chinese soft-shelled turtle). It matches the Rfam family "tRNA". Rfam says of the family: Transfer RNA (tRNA) molecules are approximately 80 nucleotides in length. Their secondary structure includes four short double-helical elements and three loops (D, anti-codon, and T loops). The record is from Rfam by way of RNAcentral. Lineage: Eukaryota; Metazoa; Chordata; Testudines; Trionychidae.
GCUCCAGUGGUGCAAUGGGUCAGUGCACAGUACUUAUAAGACAGUACUCAUAGGAGACAUGCUGAGGUUGUGAGUUCAAACCUCACCUGGUGCA